RNAcentral lists this ribosomal RNA (504 nucleotides) under uncultured bacterium. RNAcentral's name for it is "partial 16S ribosomal RNA". It matches the Rfam family "Bacterial small subunit ribosomal RNA", at positions 28 to 523 of the family's 1533-position model. The record is from RNAcentral.
GAUGAACGCUAGCUACAGGCUUAACACAUGCAAGUCGAGGGGCAGCAUAAAUCUAGCGAUAGAUUUGAUGGCGACCGGCGCACGGGUGAGUAACACGUAUCCAACCUACCUAUUACUCGGGUAUAGCCUUUCGAAAGAAAGAUUAAUCCCCGAUACGAUAUUGAGUUCGCAUGAAUUUGAUAUGAAAGAUUUAUUGGUAUUAGAUGGGGAUGCGUUCCGUUAGAUUGUUGGUGAGGUAACGGCUCACCAAGUCUUCGAUGGAUAGGGGUUCUGAGAGGAAGGUCCCCCACACUGGAACUGAGACACGGUCCAGACUCCUACGGGAGGCAGCAGUGAGGAAUAUUGGUCAAUGGGCGAGAGCCUGAACCAGCCGAGUAGCGUGAGGGAUGACUGCCCUAUGGGUUGUAAACCUCUUUUAUAAGGGAAUAAAACGCUCCACGAGUGGAGCUUUGCAUGUACCUUUUGAAUAAGGAUCGGCUAACUCCGUGCCAGCCGCCGCCGUAA